Brachypodium distachyon (stiff brome) is the source of this 1165-nucleotide long non-coding RNA. RefSeq lists it as uncharacterized. The record is from RefSeq and is a predicted model, not a curated record. The transcript is spliced from 3 exons. NCBI's taxonomy places the organism in Eukaryota, Viridiplantae, Streptophyta, Magnoliopsida, Poales, Poaceae.
UCUAGCUAGGUUCUAGAACCUUCCAUUCUCCUGCCUUCCACUCCGCCGUCGCAAAACAAACUCUCGCUCGCGGCGUACGUCGAGGCCCCUUCUAGAACCUUCCAGGCCAGGGCUUGGUCGGCACUGCAGGCAGGCCGCCCUCGAUCGACAGCGAACCUCCGCCUCCCCAACUGAGGUGUUGUGGCCAAUGGCGUCAAUGGAGUGGGGAAACCAAGCAAGGGACCAACCACUCAAGGAGUCAGUUGGAUGCCUAUACUGAUAGGCAUUUAGAAGGAAAUUAGUUAUGACUGGCUGGGUGUGCAAGGGUUAAUUCAUUGGAUGCAGUAUCCAAAUAUAGCAGUCAUCAAGAAGGAGGGUGGUUAGGGAUGCGCUGAAUGGUGCGUGGCUGCUGGAUGUGGGGCCCAACUUGUCAGCCCAGGCGAUCGGCGAGUUUCUUGUGCUCUGGGAGUGGAUCCGCGAUGUCCAGCUGGUGGAUGAGGUUCCCGACUCCUUGUCCUGGAAUUGGUCCACCGAUGGGCGAUAUUCUGCCAAGUCGGCCUAUGCGAAUCUCUUUGCCGGCAUGACGCGUGAUCCUAUGGCAUCAGUGGUUUGGGGCUCUCGGGCGCCUGGGCGGUGCCGCUUCUUCGCGUGGCUAGCGGUUCGCAACCGUUGUUGGACGGCAUAUCGGCUGGAGAAGCGUGGCCUCCCGCGGCCCGACAAGUGCCCUCUUUGCGACCAGGAGAGGGAAUGUAUUUCUCACUUGCUGGUGGGCUGCGUGGUCUCUAGGAAGGUUUGGCUGAAGGUGCUCACCCUGGUGGGUCAUGGUGAUUGGUGUCCGAGCGCCAAAGCGGACCUGCGUGGACGGUGGUCCUCUCUUCCCUCCUCUCGGGGUGACGAAAAGACGCCUUGACGAUAGUUACCUUGGUCUUCUGGACCAUCUGGUGCCAUCGAAAUGACGUGGUUUUCAACGGGGCGACUUCGUCGGCGUUGCGGAUCUUCGAGAGGGUGAGAGAGGAGCUGAGUCGUUGGUUUCAAGCGGGGCUCUUCAGGAGUGGUACCCUCGUUCCGGCCCAUGUGGCGAGUAGGUGGAUUGUUAGCUUGUGAUCUUUUUUUUUGGUUGCCACUUUGUGGCGUUGUUUGCCUCUAUGGCGUGCGUUGUACUCAGCCUUCUGGCUCUUCUUUUUUA